This 74-nucleotide transfer RNA is filed under the name Geotrichum candidum. Its description in RNAcentral is "transfer RNA-Pro (TGG)". It matches the Rfam family "tRNA". From Rfam's summary of the family: Transfer RNA (tRNA) molecules are approximately 80 nucleotides in length. Their secondary structure includes four short double-helical elements and three loops (D, anti-codon, and T loops). Lineage: Eukaryota; Fungi; Ascomycota; Dipodascomycetes; Dipodascales; Dipodascaceae. The record is from RNAcentral.
GGCCGUGUGGUCUAGUAGUAUGAUACUCGCUUUGGGUUUGCGAGUGGUCCAGGGUUCAAUUCCCUGCUCGGCCC